UCCAUGUAACCAGUCCCUGAUGCCCAAAAGGUUGGGGACCUCUGUCCUUGCAUAAGCAGGGCCUGCCUUGUCGUUAUCUCCUAUGAUGCCUAGAAUAACUGUAGGUUAUAAAGAAUCUUACUUUUCAUUUACUUUCAUCACUAGCAGCAUCUCUAACUUAUUUUAAUAAUUCCUUUUCAGCAUAAAAUUGGGGCUCUUUCUUACUCAGAUAUAAGCCAUCUACUUCAGUCAAAAUAAGUUUUACUACAAACACUUAAACUCUAUUCAAAAAUUAGGGUCUUUUGAAUUUCACUAAUAAACAAAACCCAGAAUAAAACUAGGGCCACAGAAAAACACAUUAAAAACUGUGAGGGAAAGGGGAAUAGGUGAAAAAUCCAAGAGGCAGGCUCCAUUUUUCCUCAGAAUGACUUCUAGGGACUUUAUUGAUAACAUUUUCCAAGCACAACCAUGAAAAACUCAUUGGCUGAUUAUUCUUCUCCUCUUUGCCUGCCUGGCUAGGCUAUUCUGUCCAUAUUCCCUUUCUAGAACAAUCCGCAGAGAUGCAUUUGCCUUUAAAAGACAGUGACUGAUCUGCUCCCUCUACAGCCAUGUUCCUUGUGACAAGGGAGAUCUGUGUACAAAAGAGGAAAGGAGGGGGAGGGAGCUGUAGUUCCUUCCUGCAACUAUCAAAACAGAGCACCGAUUUUAAGAGGAGAAGCAGAUCCAAACACACCAGCCCUUGUGCCUCAAUGAACAGGCCGGUUUUCAAUCCACAGGCACACAUCCUUCACAGGACAGCUGCUUUCUCUGGGAAAAGGGCAGAGGGCAUCGGAGGGCUCAGUUCCUCAAGGCUUGGGGGGAUGAUUUGCCUUUCUAAACAUGAGGAAACCCAAGGAAGAGGCUAUGCAACUGAGAGAUUAAACAAGAAAAUAAAUGCAAUUCAGCCGCCUUGCUGGCAGAGAGCUGCUUCCCUACCCAGGCAGAGCGUCGCUGGCUGAGAGAUGAUGAAAUAUUAAAUGGAGAUUAGCAGAACCGAGUCAUUUUCACCGCAUCAGCCCUGCAACUUGAAAAAAAUCCUACCAAAAUCCCCCACUGAUGUCAUAGCUGGAACAUGGCUUUGUGAUGGCUGAACAUUGGAUGUGUUCCCAAAGGAAGCUUUAUUACCACUCAAAGGACACUGCAUGAAAUCACCUUUUUUCAAGGUUACAUUUCAAAUGUUCAGAGUAAAAGAUAAUGCAUGCUAUUAUAAACUCUGAAUGGCUGCAAUUAAACUUUAGUUUCAAAGCCAAAAUGGAGAUGUCUGUAAUUCUAAUAAUCUAUUAUUAUGUAUCCUCUAUAAGUUAAAAAGCAUUGUGAGAGAACCUGCCUGAUUUUACUUUGCCCCAGACAUUGCUGAGAACCUUUUUAUAAUUUUACGUGCUUCAACCUUCCAGCACAUGAAGCUCCAGUCAAGGCAGCCAUUUGCAGUAUUUCAUAGUCACUUGCAAUAUUGUCAGAAUCCAAUUAUAUUUCAUCUUUAAUUAUCAAACAUAGAAACUCCCAAUUCUGCCUUCUCUGGAUUCUGCCAUAAGAGGGAGAAAAGGGGG
Crotalus tigris (Tiger rattlesnake) is the source of this 1565-nucleotide long non-coding RNA. RefSeq lists it as uncharacterized. The record is from RefSeq and is a predicted model, not a curated record. The transcript is spliced from 3 exons. NCBI's taxonomy places the organism in Eukaryota, Metazoa, Chordata, Lepidosauria, Squamata, Viperidae.